RNAcentral lists this ribosomal RNA (406 nucleotides) under uncultured bacterium. RNAcentral describes it as "partial 16S ribosomal RNA". It matches the Rfam family "Bacterial small subunit ribosomal RNA", at positions 30 to 526 of the family's 1533-position model. The record is from RNAcentral.
AUUGAACGCUGGCGGCAGGCCUAACACAUGCAAGUCGAGCGAGCCGCGCACGUGUGAGUAAUGUCUGGGAAACUGCCUGAUGGAGGGGGAUAACUACGGGAAACGGUAGCUAAUACCGCAUAACAUCAGAUGUGCCCAGAUGGGAUUAGCUUGUGGGUGGGGUAAGGGCUCACCAAGGCGACGAUCCCUAGCUGGUCUGAGGGGAUGACCAGCCACACUGGAACUGAGACACGGUCCAGACUCCUACGGUAGGCAGCAGUGGGGAAUAUUGCACAAUGGGCGCAAGCCUGAUGCAGCCAUGCCGCGUGUGGGAAGAAGGCCUUCGGGUUGUAAAGUACUUUCAGCGAGGAGGCGUUACUCGCAGAAGAAGCACCGGCUAACUCCGUGCCAGCAGCCGCGGUAAUAC